RNAcentral lists this ribosomal RNA (433 nucleotides) under uncultured bacterium. RNAcentral describes it as "partial 16S ribosomal RNA". It matches the Rfam family "Bacterial small subunit ribosomal RNA", at positions 29 to 507 of the family's 1533-position model. The record is from RNAcentral.
AACGAACGCUGGCGGCAUGCCUAACACAUGCAAGUCGAACGAGACCUUCGGGUCUAGUGGCGCACGGGUGCGUAACGCGUGGGAACCUGCCUUUAGGUUCGGAAUAACUCAGAGAAAUUUGAGCUAAUACCGGAUGAUGUCUUCGGACCAAAGAUUUAUCGCCUUUAGAUGGGCCCGCGUUGGAUUAGCUAGUUGGUGGGGUAAAGGCCUACCAAGGCGACGAUCCAUAGCUGGUCUGAGAGGAUGAUCAGCCACACUGGGACUGAGACACGGCCCAGACUCCUACGGGAGGCAGCAGUGGGGAAUAUUGGACAAUGGGCGAAAGCCUGAUCCAGCAAUGCCGCGUGAGUGAUGAAGGCCUUAGGGUUGUAAAGCUCUUUUACCCGAAAUGAUAAUGACAGUAUCGGGAGAAUAAGCUCCGGCUAACUCCGUG